Molecule: ribosomal RNA, 883 nt
Filed under: human gut metagenome
Description: bacterial SSU rRNA
Rfam family: Bacterial small subunit ribosomal RNA
Source: RNAcentral
AGAGUUUGAUCCUGGCUCAGGAUGAACGCUGGCGGCGUGCUUAACACAUGCAAGUCGAACGAUUAACCCUUCUUCGGAAGGUCAUAAAGUGGCGAACGGGUGAGUAACACGUGACCAACCUGCCUCUCACAUUGGGAUAACUUAGAGAAAUCUAAGCUAAUACCAAAUACUCUUGAUCUGCCGCAUGACAGACCAAGGAAAGCUUUCGCGGUGAGAGAUGGGGUCGCGGCCCAUUAGGUAGUUGGUGGGGUAGAGGCCUACCAAGCCGAUGAUGGGUAGCCGGGUUGAGAGACCGACCGGCCACAUUGGGACUGAGAUACGGCCCAGACUCCUACGGGAGGCAGCAGUGGGGAAUUUUGCGCAAUGGGCGAAAGCCUGACGCAGCAACGCCGCGUGCGGGAUGACGGCCUUCGGGUUGUAAACCGCUUUCAGUGGGAAAGAUAAUGACGGUACCCACACAAGAAGCUCCGGCUAAAUACGUGCCAGCAGCCGCGGUAAUACGUAUGGAGCAAGCGUUAUCCGGAUUUAUUGGGCGUAAAGCGCGCGUAGGCGGCUUGUUAAGCAAGGUCUUAAAUCUUGGGGCUCAACCUCAAGCCGGAUCUUGAACUGGCAGGCUCGAGUAUGGUAGAGGAAAGUGGAAUUCCCAGUGUAGCGGUGGAAUGCGCAGAUAUUGGGAAGAACACCGAUGGCGAAGGCAGCUUUCUGGGCCAUUACUGACGCUGAGGUGCGAAAGCUAGGGGAGCAAACAGGAUUAGAUACCCUGGUAGUCCUAGCCGUAAACGAUGGGCACUAGGUGUGGGGAGGAUAACCUUUCCGUGCCGCAGCUAACGCAUUAAGUGCCCCGCCUGGGGAGUACGGCCGCAAGGCUAAAACUCAAAGGAAU